Mugil cephalus (flathead mullet) is the source of this 4271-nucleotide long non-coding RNA. RefSeq lists it as uncharacterized. The transcript has 3 exons. NCBI's taxonomy places the organism in Eukaryota, Metazoa, Chordata, Actinopteri, Mugiliformes, Mugilidae. The record is from RefSeq and is a predicted model, not a curated record.
UCACACGUCAGAGCAGCGGUUUUGGAGCAUGCGCACACGCAUUAUCCGAUUAAUAAGUCCGGUUCAACGUAUACAUGCUGGAGAAAGUUGAAUUCCAAUCGCAUCAUCUGGGUGAAUUGGAUAAUGAGAACUGAGAGAAACGUGUUUACAUGCACUUAAGUUCUCCUGUUAUAGUCCAACUAAGGCAAUAAUUAGUUUUUUUCACGUGCAUGUAAGCACACUGACUAAGUUUUGAGAUAUUUUGAGAACCGGCUUCAUCUCCUCCUCCUGAGCGAAAAUUGUGAUAUUCAAUUUUCUUUUGAGGAGCAUUCUAUCUUGUUUUAUCUUGUCUGUACAUCACUCUCUCGCUGAGGACCCAGCCGACCCCCUCGGAGCUCCAUGUUUGACUGUAACAAAUUCAACAACGGGAGAUAAUGAGGACGACUCUUCCCUUGGGAAUUCCACUGUGACUCAGGCGCCGCACGUUACGACUCUGUGAGCGGCAGCAGGUGGUGGAGAGGAAACCCUUCUCUUUUUCCUGCUGCUGAUGCUACUGAUGAGCUCUCAACUGCUGUGGAAAAGGUCACCGGUGUGAUCCGGAUGAAACUGCAGGGGCUGCCAGUUAUACAGCAAAAUGUCAGGUUUUGUUCAGGACACUGGAUCAAAGACACCCGACACACUUCUCCUCCGGCUCACAUCAGUGAAUGAACUUUUAGAUUUUCUUUUUGAUAUGGUGAAAAAAAAAAAAAAAAAAAAAAACAAACACUUCUCCCUGAUGUGAUUUGACGGCUUGAACAGCGAGAAAACAAAAGACACAGCGAGUCCAAAUGAAACAAAAAAAAAAAGCCUCGCUGCUUUUCAAUAAAUCACGUCAGAUCAAACGGCGAAGCCUCGCCCGAGACAGACAUAUUACAACAGAACCGGGUGCUUCUUUUUUCAAACAAUGUGGAAACGCUGAAAGGCCGGGGGAGAAGGAAUGAACAGUCCGCUCUCAAAUAAAGUCACAGGACGGGAAAAACACUGUGAGUGUGACUUCUGUUUUCUAUUAUUUGUGAAGUGAAUCGCAAUCAGAUUUGCAGCCGCUGAGUUAAAUCCUGUUGAAAGGUCAGCAGCCUGCAUAGCUGCAAGCAAGAAAUUUCUAUUUGAACAAACCGUGAUGUGUCUCUGAACUAACACGGACCAGGAUGUAACCUUCUAAUCCAAACGGCGACUUCACAGACGAGGAAAGUGAAGGUAUUUUUACUAAAGACGGGACAUAUUCUACCCUGAAAAGCCAGCCUGAAGUUCCUUCUCUCACAAAAAUAGUGAGGGAUUUUAGGUCUGGAUUCUCUCUGUUGGGAACUGAUUGUGUUCCAGCAAAGACCUGAGCUGAUUUUGUUUACAAGAAAGUUGCUGCUGUUGGAGAAUGAAGAUACUGACGGCAAAACAGCUUGAAAUCAAUUUGUCAAUAACCAGUCACAUAAUCUGUUGCUCUGAUUGGUUAUGGGACUGUACUCUCAUGUGCAGAUGUACCAGUUUCAAGAAAGUGAGAAGAAACUGGAGACAUUAACAGAAAGCAAGGACAUGUUUAGAAAAGCGACAACAUGUUUUAGAAACUGAGGACGUCUUUUGGAAGGUGCUAUCCGUACUUUACGAAAACCUCUUUCCUUGUAACGUCUCUGCCUGGUCCCCGCAAAGAUAGGAUAAAAGGAAACACACGGUCCCUCGGGAUGAAGCACAAAAUGCAUUUUUCUCGCGUCUGGUUUUAAGCUGAGGACAAGUGAAAAGUAAAAUCCCCGAGGAGCCUGCAAGCUGAAUGUUGGCAGGAAGGGUGUGAGGGAGCAGUGAAGCGCAUCACAAGGUGAGCCUGUCUCAUACGUUUACAGUGUGUUCUUCUAAUUAACUUUGUCCAACAUGUUUUGACAGGAGACAAAGACGGCUGCCUGGAUUAUCUUCGCUGUGACAUUUAUAUUGCGAGACAGCGGCGGGGAGGUGAUGUGGAACAGGAAUCUUCUACUAUGCGUGACCCCGAGCACAAUCACUAAAGAACGUUGCACAGAUAUUUACCGCAGCGUUUGUUAGAAAUGCUUCGACUUAGAAAUAUAAUGACCCAUUUAAAGUCUUAAAGUUACAGAAAACUCAGACUCUGGGACAUUUUUGCAAAACUGAAGUCACUGUCCAAGUGUGAGGACAGAUUUUCUUUCUGUCAGAUUUUGGGCUAAUAAAUUGAGACCACUAGGAGACAGGAAGGAGACUAUAGUAGACUAGUAGAAGAGAGGAAGGAGACUAUAGUAGACCAGAAGGAGACUAAAGUUGACCACUACGGGACAAGAAGGACACUAUAGGAGACAGGAAGGUGACUAAAGUAGACCAGAAGGAGACUGUACUAGACCACUAGGAGACAGGAAGGUGACUAAAGUAGACCAGAAGGAGACUGUAGUAGACCACUAGGAGACAGGAAGAAGACUAUAGUAGACCACUAGGAGACUAUGGUAGACGGGAAGGAGACUGUAGUAGACCACUAGGAGACAGGAAGGAGACUAUAGUAUAUCAGAAGGAGACUGUAGUAGACCACUAGAAGACCAGAAGGAGACUGUAGUAGACCAGAAGGAGACUAUAGUAGACCAGAAGGAGACAGGAAGGAGACUAUAGUAGACCAGAAGGAGACUAUAGUAGACCAUUAGGAAACAGGAAGGAGACUAUAGUAGACCUGUAGGAGACAGGAAUGAGACUAUAGUAGACCAGAAGGAAACAGGAAGGAGACCAGAAGGAGACUGUAGUAGACCAGAAGGAGACAGGAAGGAGACUAUAGUAGACCAGUAGGACACUAUAGUAGACCAUUAGGAAACAGGAAGGAGACUAUAGUAGACCAGAAGGAGACUGUAGUAGACCAGAAGGAGACAGGAAGGAGACUAUAGUAGACCAGAAGGAGACUAUAGUAGACCAUUAGGAAACAGGAAGGAGACUAUAGUAGACCUGUAGGAGACAGGAAUGAGACUAUAGUAGACCAGAAGGAAACAGGAAGGAGACCAGAAGGAGACUGUAGUAGACCAGAAGGAGACAGGAAGGAGACUAUAGUAGACCAGUAGGACACUAUAGUAGACCAUUAGGAAACAGGAAGGAGACUAUAGUAGACCAGAAGGAGACUGUAGUAGACCAGAAGGAGACAGGAAGGAGACUAUAGUAGAUCAGUAGGACACUAUAGUAAACCAGUAGGAGACAGGAAGGGGUUCAGGAGUCUUGUCUCACGUUCUGCCACAUCCUUCUCCUCCUCCAGAGUCCUUGUGAUUAUGGAGAUGCUCCAGUACUAGAAGCUCAUUCAUCAUCAGAGGGAGGGAAAAGCCACAAGCAGUAAACCCCACUCGACUUUAUGGAAACAAACGAGUCCGUUCCUCCACAGGACGUUUUUGAUCAGGCUGCAGGCCAAUGCCAGCUGACGGCUGUUAGCACCGAGCGUCUGAACAGUGACAAGAAGAUCACUUCACCUCAUGAGUCCUGCUCUCAGAUUCCACUCAGCAGGUUCCUGCUCUGACGGCUGAAUUAAUGAAGGAUGACAACUGAGCUUCAUGUCUGAAUGUCAACGUGUCCCCGCGUCUGAUUAAUGGCUGCUCCUGGCAGCAGGUGUAGUUUGACAUAGGGGUCGGACAGACCGUUGAAGUCCAUCGGCUUGAGACCCUGAAGACCAAAAACAGGAGAGCAGGUGAGACCGGUGACGUUUUCCUGCCUGAUCCCUCUCCCCGUCUGAACUAGUCAUGUUUUUAUCAUCACUUUUUGCUGUUAUUUGAUUUAUGAGAAGUUUUACUUGAGACUUUAAAGAGUUGAAGCAAUGAGGACUUUUUGCUCCUUCUAUUGGAUCAAGCUUUGUAGUUCAGUAGGUUUUAAUACAAAAAAAAUAUAUACAUAUACAUUAAAAGUGACUUUCUUAUACUUUCAUGGAGAUUAUAACGUGUAAUUUGUCUUUACAUUUACAAACGUCUUCUUCAGUUUAAACCACAAAGCAUUUAAUCUUUUUUUAUGUAUUAACAUAAAUGUGUGAGACACCGUUCCAGUGUGUCAGGUGAAUAAAAUCGCAACCGUUUUUUCCCCACGUGUCCGUGUGCGAAGCGCCUGAUUUGAGUCUUGACCUCGUCAGCAGGAGCCGAUCAUCAUGAGAAAUUGCCGCUAAAUAUCUUUCAACAGCUUUGACAUUUGCAGCGACGGCAGGAAGAUAGAUUUCCCCCCCACCCCUGCAUAUUUUUAGCCCUCCCACCACCACCACCAUUUUUAAUGAGCCUGAGGACGAUGAAGACGCUGACCUUCUAGACGUGCCUGUA